Non-coding RNA from Centrocercus urophasianus (Greater sage-grouse), 495 nucleotides. NCBI's taxonomy places the organism in Eukaryota, Metazoa, Chordata, Aves, Galliformes, Phasianidae. The record is from the annotation of a RefSeq genome assembly.
AUGCGGCAGUGCCGGGCCGCGGGGCUGGCGGGGCUGGCCGCGGUGCUCCUGGUGGCUGUGAGCAGAGCCCAGGUGCAGCAGGAGCCGUCGUCAGGGACCAGCGAAGGCACCGGUAUCAACAUCACCUGCUCACACCCUAACAUCCAGUCUUAUGAUUACAUCUACUGGUACCGUCAGCUCCCGGGCAGGAGCCCCGCAUUCAUCGAGUUCAUCCACCAAGGCUCCAAGGAGCUGCAUGAGUUGGCUGGGCGGCUAUCGAUGUCCGCAGACCGCCGCUCCAGCGCCCUGUGGCUCGCCCGGCCCCGGUUCGGGGACGCGGCGGUGUAUUACUGUGCCGUGAACCCACGGGGCGUGGACUCGGGGCUGCGGCAGAGCAAGAACCGCUUCGGGCGGGGCGGGCGGGGCGGGCGGCGGCGCAGUGCCGUCCAGGCCCGCAGGGGGCGCUGCCGCUCCUUCCGCCGGGCCGCCUCUCCUCUCCCGGCCCCACCGAGCUGA